This 1266-nucleotide long non-coding RNA is filed under the name Salmo salar (Atlantic salmon). RNAcentral's name for it is "lncRNA (ENSSSAG00000109514.1)". The record is from RNAcentral. Lineage: Eukaryota; Metazoa; Chordata; Actinopteri; Salmoniformes; Salmonidae.
GGGACAUUAGGGUUAUAUACUGUUAUUGAUCAGUGGUUAGAGGGACAUUAGGGUUAUAUACUGUUAUUGAUUAGAGAGACAUUAGGGUUAUAUACUGUUAUUGAUUAGAGGGACAUUAGGGUUAUAUACUGUUAUUGAUUAGAGGGACAUUAGGGUUAUAUACUGUUAUUGAUUAGAGGGACAUUAGGGUUAUAUACUGUUAUUGAUCAGAGAGACAUUAGGGUUAUAUACUGUUAUUGAUUAGAGGUUAGAGGGACAUUAGGGUUAUAUACUGUUAUUGAUUAGAGGGACAUUAGGGUUAUAUACUGUUAUUGAUUAGAGAGACAUUAGGGUUAUAUACUGUUGUUGAUUAGAGAGACAUUAGGGUUAUAUACUGUUAUUGAUUAGAGGGACAUUAGGGUUAUAUACUGUUAUUGAUUAGAGAGACAUUAGGGUUAUAUACUGUUAUUGAUUAGAGGGACAUUAGGGUUAUAUACUGUUAUUGAUUAGAGAGACAUUAGGGUUAUAUACUGUUAUUGAUUAGAGAGACAUUAGGGUUAUAUACUGUUAUUGAUUAGAGGGACAUUAGGGUUAUAUACUGUUAUUGAUCAGAGAGACAUUAGGGUUAUAUACUGUUAUUGAUUAGAGGUUAGAGAGACAUUAGGGUUAUAUACUGUUAUUGAUCAGAGAGACAUUAGGGUUAUAUACUGUUAUUGAUUAGAGGGACAUUAGGGUUAUAUACUGUUAUUGAUUAGUGGGACAUUAGGGUUAUAUACUGUUAUUGAUUAGAGGGACAUUAGGGUUAUAUACUGUUAUUGAUUAGAGGUUAGAGAGACAUUAGGGUUAUAUACUAUUAUUGAUCAGAGAGACAUUAGGGUUAUAUACUGUUAUUGAUUAGAGGGACAUUAGGGUUAUAUACUGUUAUUGAUUAGAGGGACAUUAGGGUUAUAUACUGUUAUUGAUUAGAGGUUAGAGAGACAUUAGGGUUAUAUACUGUUAUUGAUUAGAGAGACAUUAGGGUUAUAUACUGUUAUUGAUCAGAGAGACAUUAGGGUUAUAUACUGUUAUUGAUUAGAGGUUAGAGAGACAUUAGGGUUAUAUACUGUUAUUGAUCAGUGGGACAUUAGGGUUAUAUACUGUUAUUGAUCAGAGAGACAUUAGGGUUAUAUACUGUUAUUGAUUAGAGAGACAUUAGGGUUAUAUACUGUUAUUGAUCAGAGAGACAUUAGGGUUAUAUACUGUUAUUGAUUAGAGGACAUUAGGGUUAUAUACUGUUAUUGAUUAGAG